RNAcentral lists this ribosomal RNA (645 nucleotides) under Voragocoris sp. UCR ENT 00090599. RNAcentral describes it as "partial large subunit ribosomal RNA". It matches the Rfam family "Bacterial large subunit ribosomal RNA", at positions 1695 to 2713 of the family's 2925-position model. Lineage: Eukaryota; Metazoa; Arthropoda; Insecta; Hemiptera; Schizopteridae. The record is from RNAcentral.
AUAAUUAUAAUUUAGGAAUUCGKCAAUUAUUAAUUUUACCUGUUUAAUAAAAACAUGUCUUUUUGGUAUUUAUUUAAGGUCAAGUCUGCCCAAUGAUUUUUAUUUAAUGGCUGCAGUAUUUUAACUGUACAAAGGUAGCAUAAUCAUUUGUUUAAUAAUUUUAGACUGGAAUGAAAGGCUUGAUAAGAGUUAAUCUUUCUUAUUUAUAUAAAUAAGAAAUUGUUUUUUAAGUUAAAAAACUUAAAUAUUUUUAUGGGACGAGAAGACCCUAUAGAACUUUAUAUAAAAUUUAAUUAAUUAAUUAAAUUUUAUAUUGAAUUGGGGUGAUUUUGAUUUUAAUAUAACAAUCAAUUUUAUUAUAUCAGUGAUCUUUGAUUUUUUGAUCCAAUUUUUUUGAUUAUUAGAUUAAGUUACCUUAGGGAUAACAGCGUAAUUUAUUUGGAGAGUUCUUAUCGAUAAUUUAAGUUUGCGACCUCGAUGUUGAAUUAAGAUAAAAAUUGGGAGUAGAUUCUUAUAUUUUUGGUCUGUUCGACCAUUAAUUUCUUACAUGAUUUGAGUUUAGACCGGUGUGAGCCAGGUCGGUUUCUAUCUUUAAUAAAUUUUUAUUUUUUAGUACGAAAGGACCAAAAAUUUAAUAAAUAUUUU